This 253-nucleotide ribosomal RNA is filed under the name uncultured bacterium. RNAcentral's name for it is "partial 16S ribosomal RNA". It matches the Rfam family "Bacterial small subunit ribosomal RNA", at positions 524 to 776 of the family's 1533-position model. The record is from RNAcentral.
UACGAAGGGGGCUAGCGUUGCUCGGAAUCACUGGGCGUAAAGCGCACGUAGGCGGCUUUUUAAGUCAGGGGUGAAAUUCUGGAGCUCAACUCCAGAACUGCCUUUAAGACUGCAUCGCUAGAAUUGUGGAGAGGGAAGUGGAAUUCCCGGUGUAGUGGUGAAAUGCGUAGAUAUCGGGAGGAACACCAGUGGCGAAGGCGACUUCCUGGCCUGUUCUUGACGCUGAGGCGCGAAAGCUAGGGGAGCAAACGGG